This 497-nucleotide ribosomal RNA is filed under the name uncultured bacterium. RNAcentral describes it as "partial 16S ribosomal RNA". It matches the Rfam family "Bacterial small subunit ribosomal RNA", at positions 28 to 507 of the family's 1533-position model. The record is from RNAcentral.
GAUGAACGCUGGCGGCGUGCCUAAUACAUGCAAGUCGAGCGAACAGACGAGGAGCUUGCUCCUCUGACGUUAGCGGCGGACGGGUGAGUAACACGUGGAUAACCUACCUAUAAGACUGGGAUAACUUCGGGAAACCGGAGCUAAUACCGGAUAACAUGUUGAACCGCAUGGUUCAACAGUGAAAGACGGUCUUGCUGUCACUUAUAGAUGGAUCCGCUCCGCAUUAGCUAGUUGGUAAGGUAACGGCUUACCAAGGCAACGAUGCGUAGCCGACCUGAGAGGGUGAUCGGCCACACUGGAACUGAGACACGGUCCAGACUCCUACGGGAGGCAGCAGUAGGGAAUCUUCCGCAAUGGGCGAAAGCCUGACGGAGCAACGCCGCGUGAGUGAAGAGGGUCUUCGGAUCGUAAAACUCUGUUAGUAGGGAAGAACAAAUGUGUAAGUAACUAUGCACGUCUUGACGGUACCUAAUCAGAAAGCCACGGCUAACUACGUG